RNAcentral lists this ribosomal RNA (454 nucleotides) under uncultured bacterium. Its description in RNAcentral is "partial 16S ribosomal RNA". It matches the Rfam family "Bacterial small subunit ribosomal RNA", at positions 28 to 507 of the family's 1533-position model. The record is from RNAcentral.
GAUGAACGCUGACAGAAUGCUUAACACAUGCAAGUCCACUUGAACUUCGGUUUGGGUGGCGGACGGGUGAGUAACGCGUAAAGAACUUGCCUCACAGCUAGGGACAACAUUUGGAAACGAAUGCUAAUACCUGAUAUUAUGAUUAUAUGGCAUCGUAUAAUUAUGAAAGCUAUAUGCGCUGUGAGAGAGCUUUGCGUCCCAUUAGCUAGUUGGAGAGGUAACAGCUCACCAAGGCGAUGAUGGGUAGCCGGCCUGAGAGGGUGAUCGGCCACAAGGGGACUGAGACACGGCCCUUACUCCUACGGGAGGCAGCAGGGGGGAAUAUUGGACAAGGGACCGAGAGUCUGGUCCAGCAAUUCUGUGUGCACGAUGAAGUUUUUCGGAAUGUAAAGUGCUUUCAGUUGGGAAGAAAAAAAUGACGGUACCAACAGAAGAAGUGACGGCUAAAUACGUG